RNAcentral lists this long non-coding RNA (266 nucleotides) under Populus tremula. Its description in RNAcentral is "long non-coding RNA (PTRE_LNC001821)". The record is from RNAcentral. Lineage: Eukaryota; Viridiplantae; Streptophyta; Magnoliopsida; Malpighiales; Salicaceae.
UCGCAUCCAGUGUCUCCACUGCCGCCGCUCUUACUUGUCGGGAAGACACGCGGCGGCGGCGGCUAGUUGUUGUGGCGCGUGUGGCUGUACAGGUGGUGGAUUUGAGGCCGGAGAAAGCAGGAAGGGAGACAAGAGAGAGACGGCUGUCACGGAGGUGGUCAAUGGCAUUGUGAGAGACGGCUCUAGCCAAAAGGGCUUGAGAGAGAGUUAGAGAAGAAGUGGAAGCCAUUCCUGAAUUCUGAAACUCUCUCAGUCUCUCUCUCUGG